This 1446-nucleotide ribosomal RNA is filed under the name Halomonas sp. H9. Its description in RNAcentral is "bacterial SSU rRNA". It matches the Rfam family "Bacterial small subunit ribosomal RNA", at positions 75 to 1445 of the family's 1533-position model. Lineage: Bacteria; Pseudomonadati; Pseudomonadota; Gammaproteobacteria; Oceanospirillales; Halomonadaceae. The record is from RNAcentral.
GUAGCUUGCUACCCGCUGACGAGCGGCGGACGGGUGAGUAAUGCAUAGGAAUCUGCCCGGUAGUGGGGGAUAACCUGGGGAAACCCAGGCUAAUACCGCAUACGUCCUACGGGAGAAAGGGGGCUUCGGCUCCCGCUAUUGGAUGAGCCUAUGUCGGAUUAGCUAGUUGGUGAGGUAAAGGCUCACCAAGGCAACGAUCCGUAGCUGGUCUGAGAGGAUGAUCAGCCACAUCGGGACUGAGACACGGCCCGAACUCCUACGGGAGGCAGCAGUGGGGAAUAUUGGACAAUGGGGGCAACCCUGAUCCAGCCAUGCCGCGUGUGUGAAGAAGGCCCUCGGGUUGUAAAGCACUUUCAGCGAGGAAGAACGCCUGUCGGUUAAUACCCGGUAGGAAAGACAUCACUCGCAGAAGAAGCACCGGCUAACUCCGUGCCAGCAGCCGCGGUAAUACGGAGGGUGCAAGCGUUAAUCGGAAUUACUCGCAGAAGAAGCACCGGCUAACUCCGUGCCAGCAGCCGCGGUAAUACGGAGGGUGCAAGCGUUAAUCGGAAUUACUGGGCGUAAAGCGCGCGUAGGUGGCUUGAUAAGCCGGUUGUGAAAGCCCCGGGCUCAACCUGGGAACGGCAUCCGGAACUGUCAGGCUAGAGUGCAGGAGAGGAAGGUAGAAUUCCCGGUGUAGCGGUGAAAUGCGUAGAGAUCGGGAGGAAUACCAGUGGCGAAGGCGGCCUUCUGGACUGACACUGACACUGAGGUGCGAAAGCGUGGGUAGCAAACAGGAUUAGAUACCCUGGUAGUCCACGCCGUAAACGAUGUCGACCAGCCGUUGGGUGCCUAGAGCACUUUGUGGCGAAGUUAACGCGAUAAGUCGACCGCCUGGGGAGUACGGCCGCAAGGUUAAAACUCAAAUGAAUUGACGGGGGCCCGCACAAGCGGUGGAGCAUGUGGUUUAAUUCGAUGCAACGCGAAGAACCUUACCUACCCUUGACAUCUACAGAAGCCGGAAGAGAUUCUGGUGUGCCUUCGGGAACUGUAAGACAGGUGCUGCAUGGCUGUCGUCAGCUCGUGUUGUGAAAUGUUGGGUUAAGUCCCGUAACGAGCGCAACCCUUGUCCUUAUUUGCCAGCACGUAAUGGUGGGAACUCUAAGGAGACUGCCGGUGACAAACCGGAGGAAGGUGGGGACGACGUCAAGUCAUCAUGGCCCUUACGGGUAGGGCUACACACGUGCUACAAUGGCCGGUACAAAGGGCUGCGAGCUCGCGAGAGUCAGCGAAUCCCUUAAAGCCGGUCUCAGUCCGGAUCGGAGUCUGCAACUCGACUCCGUGAAGUCGGAAUCGCUAGUAAUCGUGAAUCAGAAUGUCACGGUGAAUACGUUCCCGGGCCUUGUACACACCGCCCGUCACACCAUGGGAGUGGACUGCACCAGAAGUGGUUAGCCUAACGCAAGA